Long non-coding RNA from Cavia porcellus (domestic guinea pig), 1002 nucleotides. RefSeq lists it as uncharacterized. The record is from RefSeq and is a predicted model, not a curated record. The transcript has 3 exons. Lineage: Eukaryota; Metazoa; Chordata; Mammalia; Rodentia; Caviidae.
UUUUGCCUGGUUCCUGCUUGCUGUUUGCAGACAACAUGAAUUGUGGCCCAGCCAUGCCCGCCUGCCUUGGAGCCAGCUAAGUGUGGACUGAAACCUCCAAAACCUAUCCCAGAAAGAAAGGGAAGGAAUCAGGAACCGGAGACCGACAAGGAGGAACUUCAGAGGCUGACAGGACACACAAAGUCCACAGACUGAGGCAGAAGCCAACUUUGGCUGUAUGGUGAAUGUGUUUAAUGCAGUCGGGGGCCAGCACCGAAGCAGGCUCGCAAGGUGAUGUUCCCGGAACAGAAAGUCACCUGGGGAGCCCACUAUGGCCACAUCACUUAGGAAUCCCAUUAAAUCAAGACUGAAAGACAAUAAUAAGAUUAGGUCUCAUCUGUACUGUUUCCAAUUGUUUGCCUGUCUGAACAAAGUUUUAAAGAAUUUUGUCUACAGUGUCCAUAAACAUAAUUUCCACAAUAUCACUCAAAAGUAUGUGAAUUACGUAAAUCUAGCCAGCACGUUACUAUGAGACAUCCUGGAAAAGAUUUUUUCCUAGGUUUCAGUGUCUGUAACCAAUAAUCCUACUCUAUUUGUCAAUCUUGCCUAAAUAUAUAUUUGCAAAACACAUAAACAUAAGAUGAUUUUCAAAAACCAAAUGCUUUUCAGAGAAAAGCAGAUGGUUUGAUCAGAAAAAACUAUAAUAAUCUCUUUUCAAAAUACAAGGCAGGCACAUAGAAGGGUGCUUUUUUAAAUAAACAUAAUAUGAUCACAUAUCAAUAUCAUUUAUCAUAUGAACUGGUUAUAUAUGUACAUGUAAAUAUUUAAAUUUUACAUAUAAAUAUAAUUACAUAUAAAUAUAAAAACUUUUGAGCUGCUAUAAUUUGAACAAAAUUUUCCAUAAACUCUAAGCAAAAUAAAUGAUAUCAUAAUGUCAGGAGAAAUAAAACUUAAUAUGUUUAAAGUGAUAACCUCCUGUAAAGAACAAUUUGCCAUUUCUCAAGGACAAAUGAAAAAUUUACA